RNAcentral lists this transfer RNA (64 nucleotides) under Anagonalia melichari. RNAcentral's name for it is "tRNA-Glu". The record is from RNAcentral. Lineage: Eukaryota; Metazoa; Arthropoda; Insecta; Hemiptera; Cicadellidae.
AUUUAUAUAGUUUAUUAAAACAAUUUAUUUUCAUUAAAAAAAUGGUAUAUAUUACCUAUAAAUU